Molecule: long non-coding RNA, 1112 nt
Filed under: Vombatus ursinus (common wombat)
Lineage: Eukaryota; Metazoa; Chordata; Mammalia; Diprotodontia; Vombatidae
Description: lncRNA (ENSVURG00010021508.1)
Source: RNAcentral
AUGCGAAGGCACUCGGUUCUCCCCGUGACGAGAUCUGUUUUCAAUUUGCAGUCUUCACCCUCUGCAAAACGAGACAGUGCUUAUCACUGGGAAGCCCGGAGAAGACAGAUGGCUCUAGACCGAAGGAGACACUACCAGCUUCAACAGGAAAUGAAGAACAAAAGGAUAGAGAAUGACCUGGAGGAACAAAGAUACUGCAUGGGGCUCGAACCCUAUCAGCGGUAUCACUCUCCGAGCCCUGAGCGCCAAUACGUGUAUGGCGACGUGAGCCCCGAGACCUCCCACCGGACCCCGGGGGCGUACAUCACUGGAGGAUCUCCAGAAGACUUAAGAGGCGGCUACUUGUUUCCUGAACUCCCGACCCUCGGCCACUGCAUGUGCCAAUGCCAGUGUCACUACCAAGGUCAGGGCCACCAUCAGAGCAGAAGCCACGUCCCGGACGAAGAACAGGACGAGGAGCAGGACGAAGUCCAGGACUUGGGCCAGAGCAACAGUCGGGAGCGGAACCGGGACCGGGACCGGGACCGGGACCGGGACCUAUGCCAGAGCAAGAGCCAGGUCCGGGACCGGGAACAGAGCAAGAGCCAGCGCCACACCAAGAGCCUGGUCCGGGACCGGGAACUGAGCAAGAGCCAGCGCCACACCAAGAGCCUGGUCCGGGACCGGGAACUGAGCAAGAGCCAGCGCCAGAGCAAAGACCCAGGUCAGACUGGACACCAUACUGGUCACCACCAUCACAAAAUUCAUUCCUUGGCUCACCAGCAAGCUGCUCAUCACUCCCAAGAGCCCAAACACAGUAAGUGAACUCUCCUUGGAGUUGGGGGUGUGGGAGCUGGGAGUUAGACUGGGCAGAGGGGAUCGGCCCAUAGGGAAGAUCAAGUUACUCAGCUCUCUAGCCUCUGGACAGACAUGCCCAGCCUAAGUGUUUGUAUCUGCCUGUAGGGCCUGAAAGAUGAAAAAUCAUUGCUCAUCAAGCAUUUCUCAAGCAUCUACUGUGUAGACAGACAGGGAGCUCCUUGAGUGCCUUUCUUUUUAUCCCUCCUACCAAGCACAUAGUAGGAACUUACAUAUCUGUUUACUGAUUGCCAGGUGCUACGCUAAGCAAGGGAGAU